RNAcentral lists this ribosomal RNA (420 nucleotides) under uncultured bacterium. RNAcentral describes it as "bacterial SSU rRNA". It matches the Rfam family "Bacterial small subunit ribosomal RNA", at positions 355 to 774 of the family's 1533-position model. The record is from RNAcentral.
UCGAGGAUCUUCGGCAAUGAGCGCAAGCUUGACCGAGCGACGCCGCGUGCGGGAUGAAGGCCUUCGGGUUGUAAACCGCUGUCAGUGAGGAGGAAGGCCCCGUGCAGAGCGGGGUUUGACCUAUUCGCAGAGGAAGUGUGGGCUAAGCUCGUGCCAGCAGCCGCGGUAAGACGAGCCACACAAACGUUAUUCGGAAUCACUGGGCUUAAAGGGUGCGUAGGCUGUGCAGAAAGUGGGGUGUGAAAUCCCUCAGCUCAACUGAGGAACUGCGCUCCAAACUACUGUGCUUGAGUGAGACAGAGGUAAGCGGAACUUCGGGUGGAGCGGUGAAAUGCGUUGAUAUCCGAAGGAACACCGGUGGCGAAAGCGGCUUACUGGGUCUCAACUGACGCUGAUGCACGAAAGCUAGGGUAGCAAACG